RNAcentral lists this non-coding RNA (30 nucleotides) under Mus musculus (house mouse). Lineage: Eukaryota; Metazoa; Chordata; Mammalia; Rodentia; Muridae. The record is from RNAcentral.
UAUACCUUUUUCUGUGUGUGUGUGAAGGGG